This 1833-nucleotide ribosomal RNA is filed under the name human gut metagenome. RNAcentral describes it as "bacterial LSU rRNA". It matches the Rfam family "Bacterial large subunit ribosomal RNA", at positions 1082 to 2925 of the family's 2925-position model. The record is from RNAcentral.
UGCAUAGACAACUAGGACGUUGGCUUAGAAGCAGCCACUCAUUUAAAGAGUGCGUAAUAGCUCACUAGUCGAGAGAUCCUGCGCCGAAAAUGUCCGGGGCUAAAACUUACCACCGAAGCUACGGGCUUGCGUAAGCAAGCGGUAGGGGAGCGUCGUAAUCGGGCUGAAGUCGUACCGUAAGGAGCGGUGGACUGAUUACGAGUGAGAAUGUUGGCAUUAGUAGCGAGAUGUAGGUGAGAAUCCUACAGGCCGAAUAUCUAAGGUUUCCUCAGGAAGGCUCGUCCGCUGAGGGUUAGUCGGGACCUAAGCCGAGGCCGAAAGGCGUAGGCGAUGGACAACAGGUUGAUAUUCCUGUACCACUACCAUCGUUAUUAUCGAGGGUGUGACGGAGAAGGAUAGUGUGUGCUAGCGAUUGGAAAUGCUAGUCUAAGCGUUUAGGCAGUUACAGUAGGCAAAUCCGCUGUAAUGUUAAUGCUGAGGCGUGAUGGGGAAGGCCCUUGAGGCUGAAGUACAUGAUUCCAUGCUUCCAAGAAAAGCAUCUAGAGAGAGAAGUAGUGCCCGUACCGCAAACCGACACAGGUAGAUGAGGAGAGAAUCCUAAGGCCGGCGGAAGAAUUGCAGUUAAGGAACUAGGCAAAUUGACCCCGUAAGUUAGCGAGAAGGGGUGCCUACGAGAGUAGGCCGCAGAGAAUAGGCCCAAGCAACUGUUUAGCAAAAACACAGGUCUCUGCUAAAGCGCAAGCUGAUGUAUAGGGGCUGACGCCUGCCCGGUGCUGGAAGGUUAAGGGGAACACUUAGCGCAAGCGAAGGUGUGAACUUAAGCCCCAGUAAACGGCGGCCGUAACUAUAACGGUCCUAAGGUAGCGAAAUUCCUUGUCAGGUAAGUUCUGACCCGCACGAAUGGCGUAAUGACUUGGGCACUGUCUCAACUGCAAAUCCGGCGAAGUUGUAGUGCGAGUGAAGAUGCUCGCUACCCGCGAUUGGACGGAAAGACCCCGUAGAGCUUUACUGUAGCUUAGCAUUGAAUUCCGGUAUUGUCUGUACAGGAUAGGUGGGAGACUGGGAAACUAGGGCGUCAGCCUUAGUGGAGUCAUCCUUGGGAUACCACCCUGACAGUACUGGGGUUCUAACAGGAUGCCAUGAAUCUGGUGACUGGACAUUGUUAGGUGGGCAGUUUGACUGGGGCGGUCGCCUCCUAAAAAGUAACGGAGGCGCCCAAAGGUUCCCUCAGAACGGUCGGAAAUCGUUCGUAGAGUGCAAAGGCAGAAGGGAGCCUGACUGCGAGACCUACAAGUCGAGCAGGGACGAAAGUCGGGCUUAGUGAUCCGGUGGUACCUCGUGGGAGGGCCAUCGCUCAACGGAUAAAAGCUACCUCGGGGAUAACAGGCUGAUCUCCCCCAAGAGUCCACAUCGACGGGGAGGUUUGGCACCUCGAUGUCGGCUCAUCGCAUCCUGGGGCUGUAUUCGGUCCCAAGGGUUUGGCUGUUCGCCAAUUAAAGCGGCACGCGAGCUGGGUUCAGAACGUCGUGAGACAGUUCGGUCCCUAUCUGUUGCGGGCGUAAGAGAUUUGAAGGGAGCUGUCCUUAGUACGAGAGGACCGGGAUGGACUGACCUCUGGUGCACCAGUUGUUCUGCCAAGAGCAUGGCUGGGUAGCUAAGUCGGGAAGGGAUAAACGCUGAAAGCAUCUAAGCGUGAAGCCUCCCUCAAGAUGAGAUUUCCCAUAGUCGAAAGACUAGUAAGACCCCUUGAAGAACACGAGGUUGAUAGGUCAGAGGUGUAAGUGUGGUAACAUAUUUAGCUGACUGAUACUAAUAGGUCGAGGGCUUGACCAA